GUACUGCUGAAGAAUCCCAAACUAGGAUGAAACAGCUAGAUGUCCAGUAC
RNAcentral lists this non-coding RNA (50 nucleotides) under Trichobilharzia regenti. Lineage: Eukaryota; Metazoa; Platyhelminthes; Trematoda; Strigeidida; Schistosomatidae. The record is from RNAcentral.